Long non-coding RNA from Poecilia latipinna (sailfin molly), 121 nucleotides. RefSeq lists it as uncharacterized. The record is from RefSeq and is a predicted model, not a curated record. The transcript is spliced from 3 exons. NCBI's taxonomy places the organism in Eukaryota, Metazoa, Chordata, Actinopteri, Cyprinodontiformes, Poeciliidae.
CGCUCUGUGAGUUUGGAAACUCCAGCUCUGAGAAGGAGCUGCGCCUCAAAGGCGGGGCUAGGUCCAACCAGGCGUUUUGCACAGCUGAAUGGUUGCCACGGGAGAUUAAAGGAUUCCUCAA